Molecule: transfer RNA, 73 nt
Filed under: Bos taurus (domestic cattle)
Lineage: Eukaryota; Metazoa; Chordata; Mammalia; Artiodactyla; Bovidae
Also listed under: 2 other names
Rfam family: tRNA
About the family: Transfer RNA (tRNA) molecules are approximately 80 nucleotides in length.
Source: Rfam by way of RNAcentral
UCCCUGGUGGUCCAGUGGCGAAGACUCUAUGCUUCUACUUUAGGGGGCAUGGGUUCAAUCCCUAGUCAGGGAA